UUUAAAUCAAUGAGUGCACUUAAUUGUGGCUCAAAUUUUUUUAAAUUUAAACCCCAAAAAUUUGAUUGUAUGACUACCAAACCCUUUUUGUCAUUUCAAUCAAGUAAAAGUGACAUUUUUGUUACAUUAUCCCCCCCUAACCUUUUUUUUAUUUUUAUUUUAUUAUAAAUACACAAGUGAACUUAAGAAUGUAAAAAUUGAUUGAUUAUUUUGAAAUAA
RNAcentral lists this unclassified non-coding RNA (219 nucleotides) under Puccinia tanaceti. RNAcentral describes it as "ITS1". Lineage: Eukaryota; Fungi; Basidiomycota; Pucciniomycetes; Pucciniales; Pucciniaceae. The record is from RNAcentral.